UACGUAGGGUGCGAGCGUUAAUCGGAAUUACUGGGCGUAAAGCGUGCGCAGGCGGUUUUGUAAGACAGGCGUGAAAUCCCCGGGCUCAACCUGGGAAUGGCGCUUGUGACUGCAAGGCUGGAGUGUGGCAGAGGGGGAUGGAAUUCCGCGUGUAGCAGUGAAAUGCGUAGAUAUGCGGAGGAACACCGAUGGCGAAGGCAAACCCCUGGGCCGGCACUGACGCUCAUGCACGAAAGCGUGGGGAGCAAACAGG
RNAcentral lists this ribosomal RNA (253 nucleotides) under uncultured bacterium. RNAcentral describes it as "partial 16S ribosomal RNA". It matches the Rfam family "Bacterial small subunit ribosomal RNA", at positions 524 to 776 of the family's 1533-position model. The record is from RNAcentral.